UGGGGUGUAGCUCAGUGGUAGAGCACUUGCCUGGCAUGUAUGAGGCACUGGGUUUGAUUCUCAGCACCACAU
RNAcentral lists this transfer RNA (72 nucleotides) under Marmota marmota marmota (Alpine marmot). It matches the Rfam family "tRNA". Rfam says of the family: Transfer RNA (tRNA) molecules are approximately 80 nucleotides in length. Their secondary structure includes four short double-helical elements and three loops (D, anti-codon, and T loops). RNAcentral also lists the same sequence under 2 other names. Lineage: Eukaryota; Metazoa; Chordata; Mammalia; Rodentia; Sciuridae. The record is from Rfam by way of RNAcentral.